GAUGAACGCUGACAGAAUGCUUAACACAUCAGCAAUUGAUUGGUGGCGGACGGGUAAGUAACGCGUAAAGAACUUGCCUCACAGGUAGGGACAACAUUUGGAAACGAAUGCUAAUACCUAAUCCUGUGAGAGAGCUUUGCGUCCCAUUAUCUAGUUGGAGAGGGAACGGCUCACCAAGGCGAGGAUGGGUAGCCGGCCUGCGAGGGUGAUCGGCCACAAAGGUACUGAGACACGACCCGUAGUGAUACGUGAGGCAGGAGUGAGGAAUAUUGGACAAUGGACCAAAGUCUGAUCCAGGAAUUCUGUGUGCACGAUAAAGUUGUCGGAAUGUAAAGUGCUUUCAGUUGAGAAGCGGUACCAACAGAAGAAGUGACGGCUAAAUACGUGCCAGCAGCCGCGGUAAUAC
This 406-nucleotide ribosomal RNA is filed under the name uncultured bacterium. RNAcentral's name for it is "partial 16S ribosomal RNA". It matches the Rfam family "Bacterial small subunit ribosomal RNA", at positions 28 to 526 of the family's 1533-position model. The record is from RNAcentral.